RNAcentral lists this long non-coding RNA (2351 nucleotides) under Lathyrus oleraceus (garden pea). RNAcentral describes it as "Pisum sativum (pea) long non-coding RNA (PSAT_LNC035957)". Lineage: Eukaryota; Viridiplantae; Streptophyta; Magnoliopsida; Fabales; Fabaceae. The record is from RNAcentral.
UGCAAUUGAUUUUAAAGUUUCUUGUUUAAAAUAUUUUUUUUAUAAAAAGUUAUCAAAAUAUGUGUUUAUUGUUUCUAGUAUUGAUUAUUUGGACCAUAUUAUCUCAAUUAACAACGUAAACCUAGAUCUGGAAAAGAUUUAAGUAAUUUUAGAAUGAUAAAAGUCGAGAUCUCUCACGAUGCUCAAGGGUUUUUUAGGUGUCACCGACUUUUAUUGACAAUUUGUCUGCCAUUACUCCUCUCACGCUGCUCCACUCACUAAUUUGUUAGUUUUCAUGGAGUACAUUAUCCAAUACAACAUUUACAACACUUUAAAGAUAAAUGUCUGAAACUCCAAUUUUGGCUCUUCCAGACUUUUCCAAUAUCUUCAUACUUGAAACAUAUAUGUGUAUGUGUUGUGGCUACCGGUGAUGUUUUAUCUCAAGAGGGUCCCCCUUUGGAAUUCUGCAACAAAAAGAUGUGCAGCAAUAUGCAAGCUUCGUCUGUAUAUGUUCGCGAGAUGUACACCAUGACAUAAGUUGUAAAAAAUAGCAUCAAUAUUUAAUUAGAAGGCAUUUUCACAUAUUCACAUACCAAAAGAGUUUUAAAUUUUUGUUGGUCUAAACAAUUCGAACCUAGAACAACAAAAAUGGGACUCAAAGCCAAAAGGUUUCAGUUUCAAAAUAUUCUACAAAUCUGGGAAGGCAAAUUAGGUGGCUAAUGCACUUAGCCGAAAACACAUAUAGGACAAAUCUAUCUUGCUUAAAAUAUCAUAGCCGGUCUCGUUACUUCUAGAUCAACUCAGGAAAUACUAUUACAAACAAAAGGAGGGUCAGAAAUUGAUGGCAAAAUAUCGUUCAGACCCGCACAUGCAACAACUGUUUAGAUUAAAAGAUCAUAUUUUAUAUUAUAAGGACAAAACUUUCAUACCACUGAUGGAAGAGCUUUAACAUGAUAUCAUCCACAAGUACCAUUUAACUCCUACUGCAGGUCACUCAGGACUUCAACCAACAGUAGCUCUCCUUUCAGCAUCCUUCCUUUGGUCGGUAAUUCAGAAGGAUGUCAAGAUUUUUGUAUAACACUCCCAGAUCUGCCAACAUAAUAAAUACAUGUCAAGAAAAACAAGAGUUACUACAACCAUUAGUGAUACCAGCAUAAAAAUGGGAAGGGUAGUCAAUGGACUUCAUAACACACUUACCUUCAUCUUUUGAGCGUACAAUGAUAUGGAUCAUUUGUGACCGCCUUACAAAGCUUGUUCACUUUGUUGCAUUUCUAACCAAGUUCUCUGCCCAUAGUCUCACCAAACAUUUUUCUGUUGAGAUUUGUGGCCUGUAUGAUAUACCCAAAUCAAUAGUUUGAGACAAAGAUCCAUUUUUUCUCAACCCUUUUCGGAAUAAUUUUUUUGUACCCAAGACACUACACUUAAGUAUACAACAACUUACAAUCCCGAAACAAAUGGUCAAACAUAAGUAGUAAAUCAAAGUUUAGAAGCUUACCUCCACUAUUUUGCAAGUGAUCAUCCACUCAUGUGGUACAAGUAUUUGCAUCGGGCUGGAUAUUGGUAUAAUACUUCUUUUCACUUGGCCAUCAAGAUAUCUUCUUUUGAAGCCUUUUAUGGAUUCCCACACCCGGCUCUCCCAAACUAUGUAUAAGGUUUUUUUACCUUGUUUGCUAUAAAAACUAUUUUGAAAAACAAAUAAUAAAUAUGUAACACUUUAAAGGACAACUUGAAGAGAAAUCAACAAAAAAUGUCAGAUCAAGCAAAUAAAGACAAGAUCAACAAUGCCUUUGAAAAUUGUGACUUAUCUCAGAAACUUUCAAAAAAAUAUUUUGGUCCUCUCAAGAUGCUUCAGUGUGUUGGUUUAGUAGCUUACAAAUAGUACCUUCCAAAGUCGUUAAACAUACACCUUAUUUUUUCACUUGUCCAAGUUAAGAGCAUACUAUGGAACAAACCCACACUCUCAUUUUAUUCCAAUCCCAUAAUAUUUAGAACAUGACAAUGUUAAUGAUGAUAAGCAAAAGGAGACUCAAGAAAUAAAGGUACAAAAGUUGAAUGAUUUUCAAAAUCGAAUUCAAGAAGAUAAGGUGCAAAAAAAUCAUUUGCAAGAGAGAAAAGUGCAACGCAAAAUUUUGGGCGAUUAUGUAUCUGAAAGUGCAAUGAGAAGUGAAACAAUAAUGGUAAAGGAAAAGAAAAUAAUUGCAACUAAUACUUAUACUAAUGCCUCAACUCAGUAACUACAUUACUUCCCUAAGCCUCACGUGAAACCUUCCCAAUCCUAAGAUUCAUCAACUAAAAUAGCCUCUCCAAAGGACGAGCCACAUGUCCACCAUUACCAAAUGAUUAAGAUCAUGUCGCCUUAACCACUCAUGCUU